RNAcentral lists this long non-coding RNA (709 nucleotides) under Rhinopithecus roxellana (golden snub-nosed monkey). RNAcentral describes it as "lncRNA (ENSRROG00000045934.1)". The record is from RNAcentral. Lineage: Eukaryota; Metazoa; Chordata; Mammalia; Primates; Cercopithecidae.
GGCAGAGCUGGGCUGCGUCAGGCUGAGCCCAUUCACCUCGCGGCCGCAGGAGCGCAGCGCCGGCGCCGCGCCGCCCAGCCCCGCCGAGAGGGGCGCACUCGCCGCCGCUGGGCCCGCCGCCGCUCACCGCAGCCCCCUCCUGGCGACCCGCAAAGAGACUUUACCAGAUGCAGGAAAUGAAGAUGAAGGCAACUCUGGAAGGAUGAAAAGAAGAGAGAGCAAGCACUGUACCUACUGUCUGCUAUCUAAGAGGGCUGGUCUCAUAACUAAAAGAUCCAGUCCCUGAGAUCUUGUGUGCAACUAUCAGAAAUAGUUCAGGACAUCAAAUUGCGCAGAAAAGAUUCAGAUGAAGAGAAACAAGAACUCUGUGGAAAACUGUUGGAGACAGUGGCACGGUUGUCUUAAAAGGUGAUGUCUGUCCCAUGGAGGGACACAAGAGCGAGGACAGCACGGUUCUAAUGGCCAGGGCAUGUCCUCUUAUUCAAUGUGACAGGGUAUGUUUUUGACAUAUACUCUUUGAAAUAUGUUGAUUAUUCUGGACAUCAGUAAGGUGGGAUAUUUGAAUAAAAAGACUUCUGUCAUUAUUGGCUUUUAUGGCUAUGAUUUUUUUCAGUCAUUUUUAUAAAUCAUGUGAAGGUAAAAUAAAUGAUCAUUUCAGCCAUUAAUUCUGUUCUGCACAGAAUGCUGUUCAAAUAAAACAUCAUCUGAU